Anas platyrhynchos (mallard) is the source of this 2757-nucleotide non-coding RNA. NCBI's taxonomy places the organism in Eukaryota, Metazoa, Chordata, Aves, Anseriformes, Anatidae. The record is from RefSeq and is a predicted model, not a curated record.
ACACAGCAGGGAGGCUGAGAGGCUUUGCAGGCUCUCCCUGGGGAUGGUGGGGGCUCUGUGCUCUAGUGCUGGAGCAUCUGCAGCCUGGGGAGAUGUGUGUAGCGUGGCCUGGGAGCUGUUUCUGCUCAGCUUGGGGGUUGCUGCAAUGAUGCUGUGUGCUACUGGAGAGCUGAGCAGGGCCUGGACUGCUCCCAGGAGGAGAGGAAGGACAAGGAGCAGCUUCCUGUAGGUCGUGAUUUCAAUGUCCAGAGCCAGCUUGACAUUCAUCAGCUCCUGGUACUCACAGAGCUGCCGGGCCAGGUCUGCCUUGGUCUGCUGCAGAGCUACCUCCAGCUCAGAGAGUUUGCACUUUGCGUCCUUGAUGGAUGUUUCCCCACACUGCUCAGCAUUGGCCACAGCGGUUUCCAGUUUGCAGCGCUGCAAGGAGCAAGACACAGUCAGUCUUCAGUGUCUCUUGGUAUUUUCAAACGUAAUGCAUUAUCUAGAGGUGUAUUUAAAGUCUGGUUGUGCAUUCAGCCCAGCAGCAAGAUGGACAUGCAGUCCUCCCCAGCAGAGGUUUGAGGGAGCUGGGUGUGCAGUUUCAAUGCUUCCUCGUGCUGCUCGCAGGGGAUGGGAUGCUCUGACUGUAGCUGCCUUCAGGCAGUGCCUGAGUUGGACUUUAAUGCAGCCCCAGCCAGAACAGCAAAGUCCUGGCUACUGAGCAUCCUUUGCAGGGUGUACAGCACCAUUUAAUUUUGUGCUCACCUGGUCCUUGGCGUUCCUGACUUCUCCGUUCAGUUUCUGGAUUAUCCGUGUCAGCUCACUUAUUUCUUUUUUCGUCUCUCGCAGGCUAUCAGCAUUUCUGCCUGCAGUGACUCGCAGCUCCUCAAACUAAAAAAGCCCCAGAGACGUUGUUAUGUGUCUCAGAAAACACAUGCUUUGAGUUAAAUCAGAGCAUAUUAGGAGCGUGGGGGUGUUUAUCUCAUUUUUAAGGGAGAAAUUGCAUCUGAACCCUCCCUCUGGCAGUUUUUCUCACCUUGCUUUUGUACCAGGCUUCUGCUUCUGCCCGGCUCCUGCAGGCAGUGUCCUCGUACUGAGCCUUGACAUCAGCAAUGAUGCUGUCCAGGUUGAGGUCCCGGCUGUUGUCCAUCUGUACAAUCACCUGCGUAUCUGAGAUCUGAGUCUGCAGCUGCUGGGUUUCCUGGUGGUGACAGUGAGAUGCUGGUUCGGCUGUGCUCCCAGGCCAGCCCCUCACUGGUGUGUCAUGCACAUCAUGCAUCUUGCUCCCCCUUUGUGGUGACCAAGCAGAGAUGAAUUGCUGGGUCUCCCCGUUCACUGCAAGGGGUGACCUCUGCCCUGCAUUACCCCUUCUGCCCCUUUCUGUUGGGACAAACAGCUCCAAGACUGGACUGUGAAAUGCAAACAACGGCAGCGACAGGGAGGCUUCUUACCUCUUCGUAGAGCAUUCGCAGAAAGUCAACCUCUUCUUUCAGGCUUUCCACCUUGGCCUCCAGCUCUGCUUUUUUUAAGAAAAAACAGUCUGCGUCCUGAAGUCGUGUUGAGGAGAGAAGAAGGAAGUUCAUUAGCGAGAGCAGACUCGGGGCUACCCUUAGGGUAAGGGACUUUUGGUGCCGGUACCAUGACGGUGCGCCAGCUCCCAAUUACACAGUUGCUGCUGAUCUGAGUUCAAGCAAACCUGAGCACCAGCUCCUGUUUGUACUUGUUUUGCGUGCUGUUUUGGGGAAAUAAAUCUCUGUGUGCGCCCCAAAGACCCAAACCUGGAGAGGAAGGUUCAAAUGUCCCCUUGCUCACCUUCUUCAGGGCAAUAAACUCCUUCUCAGCACAGAUCCGCUGGCUGCAUUCAUCUUCAUACCUGCGUGGGAAAAUGGGAGAUUCUGAGUGCAGUGCAAUUACAUCCUUGUUUGGGAUUCUGCAGGCCUUAUUGCAAGAAAUGAAACUCCUCCUAUUUUUUUUUAAACUUCUCCCUAGAUGAUUUGGGAUGCUUUGUUCUUGUUUUGUAGCCCAUGGGAAAGCAAACGUUUUCAGAGAGGUUUCAGUGUUUUUACAAGUUUGCAGCAGAACUGUUUUGGUUCAGCUUCUGUACCAGAAAACAGUUGCUUAACUAUUCUACAUGUUAAUUCCUAGAAUUAGGAAAGAGACAGAGAACCUGGAAGAGACAUAUCCUGUUUUCUCCAUCUCCAUAAACUGGGACUUUGUUUUAUAUACCAGGAUGCUGUCAGAUCUCUCCGCCUACCUACAGGUUCUCUGGGAACUAUGUACUAUUGUGAAAAGUUCAUGAUCUCUGCCUUUUUAUGAACAACAUUUUGAGCCUUACACUCACAUUUCUGUCUUCAACUUACAUUUUCUUGUUGGUUUCCAGAGCCUCUUGCGCUGCCUUCAGGUCUGUUUGCAACAGGGCUCUGUUGCACCCCAGUGCUUCCAACUGCUUCCUUGAGUUACCGAUAUAAGCCUCUAGCAUGGGCAUGAUGAUAUUCCUGCAUUGCUUUUGACCCUGCAGAAAGCUCCACUUGGUCUCCAGCACCUCAUUCUGUUGCUCCAGUAAUCGAACCUGAAUCCCAGAAAGCAAAAUGGGAAACGAGAUGAGGGUUAAGUGUUUGUGAGAGCCAGUGUCCACGCAACAGCCGUGGAAUGCAUGGUCCUGCUCCUGGUCCACUUGAAUGCACUGUUCCCUACUCCAGUGUUCUUUUGUGCAUAUGCUUUUUCUGGGUAACUGAUGUGGAAAUGCACAAAAACCUAAAUGUUUCCAGAAAGGGAAAA